AGGAGCUCUUUGAGAUGUCUUUAUUUUCCCAUUACAUCAGUAAACUCUUAUUUACAAUGACAGCCUACCCUGGGCCUUUUGUGCACUGCCCUACGGGACUCCCAAUCAUGGCCAGAUGUGAUAAAGCCAAGAUUUGAACCAGGAACUGAGGUGACACCUCUUGCAUGAGGUAAGAUCAUGGAGGUAAGGCGAUAAAUAGGCCAUAGUGGAGAAGUAAUUACAAUUGAGCAAUUACACACUGGAGUGAUAGAUGUGCAGAAGAUGAAUGUUCAAGUAGAGAUACUUGGGUGGAAAGGAGCAAAACAUUAAAUUAAAUAACAAUAUGGGGAUGAGGUAGUUGGAUGUUUACAGAUGUACAGGUGCAGUGAUCUGUGAGCUGCUCUGACAGCUGACGCUUAAAGUGAGGGAGCUCCAGCCUCAGUGAUUUUUGCAGUUCGUUCCAGUCAUUGGCAGCAGAGAACUGUAAGGAAAGGUGGCCAAAGGAAGAAUAGGCUUUGAGGGUGACCAGUGAAAUAUACUGUGAAAUAUACCUGCUGGAGCACGUGCUACGGGUGGGUGCUGCUAUGGUGACCAGUGAGCUGAGAUAAGGCGGGGCUUUACCUAGCAAAGACUUAUAGAUGACCUGGAGCCAAUUUUCUGAGUAGAGUGUUUUAUAAAUGACAUCGCCGAAGUCAAGGAUCGGUAGGAUAGUCAGUUUUACGAGGGUAUGUUUGGCAGCAGGAGUGAAUGAUGCUUUGUUGCAAAAUAGGAAACUAGAUUAUAGAUUUAAUUUUGGAUUUGAGAUGCUUAAUCUGGGUCUGGAAGGAGAGUUUACAGUCUAGCCAGAUACCUAGGUAUUUGUAGUUGUCCACAUAUUCUAAGUCAGAACCGCCCAGAGUAGUGAUGCUGGACUGGAGGGCAGGUGCGGGCAGCGAUCGGUUGAAGAGCAUGCAUUUAGUUUUACUAGCAUUUAAGAGCAGUUGGAGGCCACGGAAGGAGAGUUGUAUGGAAUUGAAGCUCAUCUGGAGGUUAGUUAACACAGUGUCCAAAGAAGGGCCAGAAGUAUACAGAAUGGUGUCAUCUGCGUAGCUGUGGAUCAGAGAAUCACCAGCAGCAAGAGCGACAUCAUUGAUGUAUACAGAGAAAAGAGUUGGCCCGAGAAUUGAACCCUGUGGCAACAUGCCCUCCGAUUUGACACACUGAACUCUGUCUGAGAAGUAGCUGGUGAACCAGGCGAGGCAUUCAUUUGAGAAACCAAGGCUUGAGAAUGGCGAUAAGAAUGUGGUGAUUGACAGAGUCGAAAGCCUUGGCCAGGUCGAUGAAUACGGCUGCACAGUAUUAUAUUUUAUCGAUGGCGGUUAUGAUAUUGUUUAUGACCUUGAGCGUGGCUGAGGUGCACCCAUGACCAGCUCGGAAACCAGAUUUCAUAGGGGAGAAGGUACGGUGGGAUUCGAAAUGGUCGGUGAUCUUAACUUGGCUUUUGAAGACCUUAGAAAGGCAGGGUAGGAAUGAUAUAGAUCUGUAACAGUUUGAGUCUAUAGUGCCUCCCCCUUUGAAGAGGGGGAUGACCGCGGUAGCUUUCCAAUCUUUGGGGAUCUCAGACGAUACAAAUAAAGAGGUUGAACAGGCUAGCAAUAGGGGUUGCAACAAUUGCUGCGGAUAAUUUUAGAAAGAGAGGGUCCAGAUUGUCUAGCCCAGCUGAUUUGUAGGGGUCCAGAUUUUGUAACUCUUUCAGAACAUUAGCUAUCUGGAUUUGGGUGAAGGAGAAAUGAUGGAGGUUUGGGCAAGUUGCUGUGGGGUGUGCAGGGCUGUUGACUGGAGUAUGGGAAGCCAGGUGGAAAGCAUGGAAGCUGGGUGGAAAGCAUGAAAUUCUCAAUUAUAGUGGAUUUAUCGGUGGUGACAGUGUUUUCUAGCCUCAGUGCAGUGGGCAGCUGGGAAGAGGUGCUCUUAAUCUCUAUGGACUUUACAGUGUCCCAUAACUUUUUGGAGUUUGUGCUACAGGAUGCAAAUUUCUGUUUGAAAAAGCUAGCCUUUGGUUUCCUAACUGCCUGUGUACAUUGGUUCCUAACUUCCCUGAAGAGUUGCAUAUUGCGGGGGAUAUUCGAUGCUAAUGCAGUAUGCCACAGGAUUUUUUUUGUGCUGGUCAAGGGCAGUCAGGUCUGGAGUGAACCAAGUGCUAUAUCUGUUCCUGUUUUUUAUUUUUAUUGAUUGGGGCAUGCUUAUUUAAGACGGUGAAGAAAGCACUUUUAAAGAAUAUCCAGGUAUCCUCUACUGACGGAAUGAGGUCAAUAUCCUUCCAGGAUACCCGAGCCAGGUCAAUUAGAAAGGCCUGCUCGCUGAAGUGUUUUAGGGAGCAUUUGACAGUGAUGAGGGGUGGUCGUUUGACUGCAGACCCAUCGCAGAUGCAGGCAAUGAGGCAGUGAUCGCUGAGAUCCUGAUUGAAAAUAGCAGAGGUGUAUUUGGAGGGCAAGUUGGUCAGGACAAUAUCUAGGAGGGUGCCCAUGUUUACGGAUUUAGGGUUGUACCUGGUGGGUUUCUUGAUAAUUUGUGUGAGAUGGAGGGCAUCUAGCUUAGAUUAUAGGACUGCCAGGGUGUUAAGCAUAUCCCAGUUUAGGUCACCUAACAGAACAAACUCUGAAGAUAGAUGGGGGGCAAUCAAUUCACAUAUGGUGUCCAGGGCACAGCUGGGAGCUGAGGGGGGUCUAUAACAGGCGGCAACAGUGAGAGACUUAUUUCUGGAGAGAUUAAUUUUAAAAAUUAGAAGCUUGAACUGUUUGGGCAUAGACCUGGAAAGUAUGACAGAACUCUGCAGGCUAUCUCUGCAGUAGAUUGCAACUCCUCCCCCUUUGGUAGUUCUAUCUUGACAAAAAUUGUUUUAGUUGGGGAUAGAAAUCUCAGGAUUUUUGGUGGCCUUCCUUAGCCAGAAUUCAAACAUGGCUAGGACAUCUGGGUUGGUCAAAUGUGCUAAAGCAGUGAGUAAAACAAACUUAGGGAUGAGGCUUCCAAUGUUAACAUGCAUGAAACUAAGGCUUAUAUGGUUACAGAAGUCAACAAAUGAGAGCGCCUUGGGAAUGGGAGUGGAUCUAGGCGCUGUAGGGCCUGGAAUAACCUCUACAUCACCAGAGGAACAGAGGAGGAGUAGGAUAAGGGUACGGCUAAAGGCUAUAAGAACUGGUCGUCUAGUGCGUUCGGAAAAGAGAGUAAAAGGAACAGGUUUCUGGACGUGGAAGAAUAGAUUCAAGGCACAAUGUUCAGACAAGGGUAUGGUAGGAUGUAAAUACAGUGGAGGUAAACCUAGGCAUUGAGUGACGAUGAGAGAGGUUUUGUCUCUAGAGAUAUCAUUUAGACCAGGUGAGGUCACCGCAUGUGUGGGAGGUGAAACAAACGGGCUAGCUAAGGCAUAUUGAGAAAUUAUGAAAUUAUGAAAAUAUGAUUUUUUUUCCUAUUCAACAAGUGUGGCUUGAAAUGACUGAAACAUUUUCAAAAUAUAGUAACAGGCAAUCUUCUGGUAAGUUAUUUAUAAUUUGAUUUUCUUAUAACUGUAAAAUAAAUAUGAUCAUAUUUAGUGAGAACAUAUUUGGCCCCAUUUCAUAUAACUGACGACAGAGCAUCUUCUGCCAAGCCUCCUCUGAGCGAUGAAAAGACACCAUUCGAAUGUCUGCAGACUUGUUACAACUUCCGCUUUACUUGCUCACAUCCCUCUGUGAUCAAGAGAAAGUGGUCGUGUUUCAAUUCUAAUAAAUUGUUCAGUCUUUUUUCAUGUUGAGAGUUCUAAAGCCGGCUGAGAAUGUCACAAUUGCUGAAAUCGCUAGACUGUCCCCUUUAAUAUGCGAUCUCCCAAGCUGGGCUCCAUCGCUCAGAGGGAGAGGAUAUCGAUUACUUGUCUGGAUAGGCCAGAAAAUAUGACAAGUCACUCCCUAUGUAAAUGUGGGGUGUGAAACCUGACAGUUCUAGUCAGCUCCACUGACAGAAAGCAGAUGGGUCUUUCUGGCGCCAUAAGACACUGGACCAUGCGACGUUCACAGAGCACUUUGUAAAAUGUGACCCGAUUCAGGAAACUAGGCGUAUGACUCAAGUCACGUAAUUUAUUUUAUUUUCAUCAAAAUGUGUUUUUUGGAGCAGAAAUGUCUUCUCAAACAUGUGAACUUUCAUGUGCUUUAAUAACAAAUGUUUAUGCCAUCCGUAAAUAUGAAUAAAGUAGUUAAAUUACGAGCCUAGUUGGUUUAGCCAAAGAAAAAGUCAGGAAUCUUCCAGCUAGCCAUGAUGGCUGGCUUGCUAGCUACGUGUAUGAAGUGUGUGUAACAUGAGUGAUGUUUUCUCAGAAUGCCAUUUCACAUGGCUAGUUAUAGCCUAAUAUUAGCAAGCUAACUAGCUAACAUUGAACCUAUUUAGUUAACUUAGCUAUGACAAUCGAUUUGUAUUGCUAAAGCUUGUUGUUAGCUAGACAGCUGACGUUAGAUGGCAGGCUAGCUAGCUAACAUUGCGUGUAUGAACUGUGUGUAGUGAUGUUCUCUCAGAAUGCCAUUUUGUGUCUACUCUAUAAUAAUGCUAAAAUAUUUGUAUAUGGAAUUGGUGGAAAGUUACUGCUAUCCCAUGUGACAAAAGCAGCAGUGUGGCGUCUCUACAAGGAAUCGAUGACAACACUUGGUAUGUAAAGCAUAAACACAUUCUGAUUAUUGAAUUGACCUCCAACAUGAUUGGAACUAAUUUUAUUGAUCUCACAUCCCACAGCUGGUUGGACUGGAGGAUGGUACGGUGCUGGUGGAAAGCUAUGGCUGGCAACAACACCUGACUCCAUACUUCAGGCCACUACCACAGAUGAAGCUGUACCAGCACUUCAGGAGAAUAUCAUUUUCAUUGCAUUCUUCGCUGCUCUGGGGCCUGGUGUUGUUUUCGCCAAGGAGCGUUCGGACUCAGUCGGGACCAGGUUUCAGCUGCUGCGCAACGCUGACAUCCUUCCUCCCAUAGAUGGUCUGCCUGUACAAGCACCACCUGGACUGGACAUAGCUAGACAAACGUAUCUUUUUGAGAAGAUCAGGGAGUUUUGCGACGAAGAGGCUAUGGACAUCACAUGCCCUGCACCAAAGUCAAGGGCAGGACAGAAACAGGCUCUUCGAAUAUAGAUUCCCUUGUUAAUGCGUGGUUCGGACGGACCAGUCAUCAGCACUAUCUGCAGUGCCUCUAUUUAAAUGACUCUCCCCUAACACACGCCAUACGUUGCUGCUACUAUUUUUUCAAAUCCUGCUGCUAAGCCACUUUACCCCUGAUGUCAUGCCCUGACCUUAGAGAGCCUUUUUAUGUCUCUAUUUGGUUUGGUCAGGGUGUGAUUUGGGUGGGCAUUCUAUGUUUUGUUUUCUAGGUUUUUGUAUUUCGAUGUUUUGGCCUGGUAUGGUUCUCAAUCAGGGACAGUUGUCUAUCGUUGUCUCUGAUUGGGAAUCAUACUUAGGCAGCCUUUUUCCCUUUUGUGAUUGUGGGAAGUUGUCUUUGUUAGGGGCACUGUUGCCCUUGUAAGCUUCACGGUCGUUUUUGUUAUUUCUUGUUUUGUUGGCGAUAUUUGACUAAGUAAAGGAAAAUGUACGCUCA
This is a long non-coding RNA of Oncorhynchus nerka (sockeye salmon), 5562 nucleotides long. RefSeq lists it as uncharacterized. The transcript has 2 exons. Lineage: Eukaryota; Metazoa; Chordata; Actinopteri; Salmoniformes; Salmonidae. The record is from RefSeq and is a predicted model, not a curated record.